ACAGAGGAAAGAUUUGACUGCUUGCAACCUCUCAAAAAUAAUGCUAAAAC
This 50-nucleotide non-coding RNA is filed under the name uncultured Alloprevotella sp. The record is from RNAcentral. Lineage: Bacteria; Pseudomonadati; Bacteroidota; Bacteroidia; Bacteroidales; Prevotellaceae.